RNAcentral lists this ribosomal RNA (460 nucleotides) under uncultured bacterium. Its description in RNAcentral is "partial 16S ribosomal RNA". It matches the Rfam family "Bacterial small subunit ribosomal RNA", at positions 338 to 795 of the family's 1533-position model. The record is from RNAcentral.
CCUACGGGAGGCAGCAGUGAGGAAUAUUGGUCAAUGGGCGAGAGCCUGAACCAGCCAAGUAGCGUGAAGGAUGACUGCCCUACGGGUUGUAAACCUCUUUUAUCAAGGAAUAAAGUGAGUCACGUGUGCCUUUUUGUAUGUACUUUAUGAAUAAGCAUCGGCUAACUCCGUGCCAGCAGCCGCGGUAAUACGGAGGAUCCGAGCGUUAUCCGGAUUUAUUGGGUUUAAAGGGUGCGUAGACGGGUUGUUAAGUCAGUUGUGAAAGUUUGCGGCUCAACCGUAAAAUUGCAGUUGAUACUGGCAGCCUUGAGUACGGUUGAGGUAGGCGGAAUGCGUGGUGUAGCGGUGAAAUGCUUAGAUAUCACGAAGAACUCCGAUUGCGAAGGCAGCUUACUAGACUGCCACUGACAUUGAUGCUCGAAAGUGUGGGUAUCAAACAGGAUUAGAUACCCUAGUAGUC